Molecule: long non-coding RNA, 602 nt
Organism: Dromiciops gliroides (monito del monte)
Lineage: Eukaryota; Metazoa; Chordata; Mammalia; Microbiotheria; Microbiotheriidae
Exons: 4
Source: RefSeq, a predicted model, not a curated record
GUAGUCGUUCUGUUUGGACACUCUUCAUACUCCAUCGUAGGAGGAAUAUGUAAAUGUGAGAUUGAACUGCUCCUCCAUCAUUUCCCCGUCUCCACUGGACACUAGAUGUUAGAUUCUCCUCGAGGGAUAUCUGCCCCAUUUGGACUGACAUUCAUCCUCUCUCAGGUUCAAGUGAAACACAGACAAAAGCUGUGAACCAUCUAUUGUUAAAGAAUUUUUAAAAGGGUAAAAAAAGAGGAUGGGGAAAGCCACUCAACAAAACUAGGCCAUCCAUUAUCUGAGUCCAACAAUGCUUGUAAUGUAACUUCUAAGUCUUAACUUGGGUGGAACAUUGAGAUGUCAAGAAUCUUGCCUAGGAACUGCAGCCAUUGUGAAUGGAAGAGCGGUACAAGAGGGCAGCACUUUGGGGUCUGUAUCACAUCAAGGAAGUCCACCUGACAUUCAAAUUUCAGAAGCACAGCUACCCAGUCCUGAAUAGGAACAAACUGAGAAGGACUCAUGGCAAACUGCUUCCAGACAGGAGGAGCACCGUCCAAAAGCUUAGCUCGGAAACCUCUGAAAAGGGUUGUUGUGCACAAGAGAACUGGAGAAUGUUCAGCUGA